Molecule: small RNA, 107 nt
Filed under: Marmota monax (woodchuck)
Lineage: Eukaryota; Metazoa; Chordata; Mammalia; Rodentia; Sciuridae
Source: RNAcentral
GCCGGGAGCAGUGGCGCACGCCUGUCAUCCCAGUGGCUCAGGAGGCUGAGGCAGGAGGAUCGCGAGUUCAAAGCCAGCCUCAGCAAUUUAGUGAGGCCCUGUCUCUA